Molecule: non-coding RNA, 831 nt
Organism: Pelobates cultripes (western spadefoot toad)
Lineage: Eukaryota; Metazoa; Chordata; Amphibia; Anura; Pelobatidae
Source: the annotation of a GenBank genome assembly
AAACACUUGCCAAAUAUUAGUUUUUUGCUUUUUUCACAGAAAAACAAAUAUGAACGCUAACUUUGGCCUGUGUUUGUGACUAAGUGGCUACUAAAAAAGACUAAACAUACCCCACUUUCAGUACUUUGGGUUGUCUACUUUUUCAAAUGGUAUGCCAUUAUGGGGGUAAUUCUCAUUCCUGGGCUACCACACGGUCUCAAAGGUAACAUUACCAAUCUGGCAAAUUUCAAUUUGAAAAUGGAACGUUCUAUAUUUGGCCCUGUAACUUUCCAAAACACCUUAAAACAUGUUAAUGGGGGGUACUGUUGUACUUGUGAGACAUUGCUGAUUACAAAUAUGUGCAUUUUUUUGCAGUAAAACCUAACAGUAUUAUGACAUUCACAGAUAAAAUGUCAAAUUUUAAAAAAAAUCCUAUUUUCUCGCAUUUUUUUUAAUUUUAUUCAUAAUAAAUUAUGUUCCAUAUAUGAAUAGUUAAUGAUAAAUUAAAGCCCUGUUUCUCCUGCACAAAAUUAUAUAUAAUAAGUGUGGGUGCACUUAAUAUGACAGCGGUGAUAUACGGUUGAACAGACAUAUAGCGUAAAUUCCAGGUUUUUUUACGUUUUGUUUUGAUCAGAACGUACACUAUUGACUCUGUCCUGAAGGGGUUAAACGUGUAUUGUGAAUGCAAGAUUGUUUAAAAACUGUCUACCAUUCAGAAACUCACACAAUAGUAAAGCCUUUCUCAUGCAGACUCAAAAUAAUACACCCAUCCUUUUUUCAAUGGGAGUAAUUUACUGUAAUUUAUUUACUGUUUUCCUAUUCUUAUUUGGUAAAGUACCGUCAUAAAUGUUG